RNAcentral lists this ribosomal RNA (438 nucleotides) under uncultured bacterium. RNAcentral describes it as "bacterial SSU rRNA". It matches the Rfam family "Bacterial small subunit ribosomal RNA", at positions 488 to 915 of the family's 1533-position model. The record is from RNAcentral.
AAGGGCCGGCUAACCCUGUGCCAGCAGCCGCGGUAAUACAGGGGGGCCCGAGCGUUACGCGGAAUCACUGGGGCUUAAAGGGGUGCGUAGGCGGUUCGGAAAGCAUUACGUGAAAGCCCCCGGCUCAACCGGGGAACUGCGCGAUGUACUACCGAACUUGAGACAGGUAAGCGACGAGGGAACAGUGGGUGGAGCGGUGAAAUGCGUAGAGAUCCACUGGAAACGCCGAUGGUGAACGAUGCUCGUCUGGGCCUGUUCUGACGCUGAGGCACGAAAGCGUGGGGAGCAACAGGAUUAGAUACCCUGGUAGUACCACGCCGUAAACGAUGAUGACUGGACCGGUGCGGGUCUUACCCCGUAAUUCGGUCCGAAAGCGAAAGCGUUAAGUCAUCCGCCUGGGAAGUACGGUCGCAAGACUAAAACUCAAAUGAAUUGACG